AUUAUAGUAAAAAAUAAAUAGUAAAAAAAUGUAAUUCAAUAAUAUAAGAAGAAAUAAAAAAUUACUUAUCGGUUCAAUGAAACAAAUAUAUAAUUAUUAAUUAUAAUAUUAUAUCAUUUAUUCCUAAGCUCCAACAUGAUGAAAUUGAGUUCUAGCUUGAUGAAAUUGGAGUGGCUCAUUCUUGGUUGUGUUUCAUAGCUCUAUUGAGCUACGUUGUUCAACGAAAAACAAAUUACAAAAGAUUAUGGAUAAAAAUGGGUAUAGCUGCAUGAUAAAUCAUGAUCAUUAAAUACAGGGAUAUUUUUGUCAAAUAAUAAAAAGAUUUCAUUACUGUUAUGAACUACUCUAAUUAUAAAGCUGAUACAAAAUGUAGCUAAUAGGCAUUUUACCAGCUAUCAGUUGUUUUUCUUUAAAGGGUUCACCAAACAAUGUAGUUAUUAAAGGCUCAAGACGCAUUGAGGCACCAAGAGAUCUAGAAGCCUAGGUGCAAGGCACAAAG
Molecule: unclassified non-coding RNA, 499 nt
Filed under: Hevea brasiliensis (rubber tree)
Lineage: Eukaryota; Viridiplantae; Streptophyta; Magnoliopsida; Malpighiales; Euphorbiaceae
Source: RNAcentral